This 253-nucleotide ribosomal RNA is filed under the name uncultured bacterium. RNAcentral's name for it is "partial 16S ribosomal RNA". It matches the Rfam family "Bacterial small subunit ribosomal RNA", at positions 524 to 776 of the family's 1533-position model. The record is from RNAcentral.
UACGUAGGGGGCUAGCGUUGUCCGGAUUUAUUGGGCGUAAAGAGCGUGUAGGCGGCCAGAUAGGUCUGCUGUGAAAACUCGAGGCUCAACCUCGAGAUGUCGGCGGAAACCAUUUGGCUAGAGUCCGGAAGAGGAAAGUGGAAUUCCUGGUGUAGCGGUGAAAUGCGCAGAUAUCAGGAAGAACACCCGUGGCGAAGGCGGCUCUCUGGGACGGUACUGACGCUGAGACGCGAAAGCGUGGGGAGCGAACAGG